Molecule: ribosomal RNA, 594 nt
Filed under: Elaphe taeniura (beauty snake)
Lineage: Eukaryota; Metazoa; Chordata; Lepidosauria; Squamata; Colubridae
Description: partial 12S ribosomal RNA
Source: RNAcentral
AUAAUACUAACGGCGUAAAGCACGACCAAUAAUAAGUUAAAACACUAGGAACGAAGAUAAACUAGGCCGUAAAAAGCCAUAAGCCACACUAACCAAACCCUAACACCAAACAACUACCACUCGUGAAAGCUAGGACACAAACUAAGAUUAGAUACCUUACUAUGCCCAACUAUAACACAACAAUUAAAUAACCCAUUGUUCGCCAAAUAACUACGAGUGAAAACUUAAAAUUUAAAAGACUUGACGGUGCCUCAAACCAACCUAGAGGAGCCUGUCUAAUAACCGAUACCCCACGAUAAACCCGACCCACUCUAGCCUACAGUCUAUAUACCGCCGUCGCCAGCCUACCUUGUGAAAGAAACAAAGUGAGCCUAAUAGCCCCACACUAAUACGACAGGUCGAGGUGUAACUUAUGAGUGGGAACAAGAUGGGCUACAUUUUCCAACACAGAAAAUACGAAUUAAUCUAUGAAAUAAGAAACUGAAGGCGGAUUUAGCAGUAUGCUGAGAACAAUAUACCCAGCUGAAACCAACGCAAUGAGGUGCGUACACACCGCCCGUCAUCCCUGUUAAUCAACUAAAAACCAUACAUAAA